RNAcentral lists this ribosomal RNA (115 nucleotides) under Candidatus Saccharimonadota bacterium. The record is from RNAcentral. Lineage: Bacteria; Candidatus Saccharimonadota.
UUCGGUGCCCAUAGCGAGAGGGAAACACCUGUUCCCAUGCCGAACACAGCAGUUAAGCCUCUCAGCGGUUACAAUACUUGGGCCUGAGCCCUGGGAAAAUAGCACGGUGCCGUAU